This 83-nucleotide transfer RNA is filed under the name Scytonema sp. UIC 10036. RNAcentral describes it as "tRNA-Ser". It matches the Rfam family "tRNA". Rfam says of the family: Transfer RNA (tRNA) molecules are approximately 80 nucleotides in length. Their secondary structure includes four short double-helical elements and three loops (D, anti-codon, and T loops). Lineage: Bacteria; Bacillati; Cyanobacteriota; Cyanophyceae; Nostocales; Scytonemataceae. The record is from RNAcentral.
GGAAGGUGCUGCCGACAGGACGGCAACUAGUCUUGAAAACUAGAGUACAGGCAACUGUAGGGGUUCGAUUCCUCCAUCUUCCU